GAUGAAGAACGUAGCGAAAUGCGAUAAGUAAUGUGAAUUGCAAAUUCAGUGAAUCAUCGAGUCUUUGAACGCACAUUGCGCCCCCUGGUAUUCCGGGGGGCAUGCCUGUCCGAGCGUCAUUGCUGCCCUCAAGCACGGCUUGUGUGUUGGGCCCCGUCCUCCGAUCCCGGGGGACGGGCCCGAAAGGCAGCGGCGGCACCGCGUCCGGUCCUCGAGCGUAUGGGGCUUUGUCACCCGCUCUGUAGGCCCGGCCGGCGCUUGCCGAUAACCCAAAUUUUUAUCCAGGUUGACCUCGGAUCAGGUAGGGAUACCCGCUGAACUUAAGCAUAUCAAUAAGCGGAGGA
This 344-nucleotide unclassified non-coding RNA is filed under the name soil metagenome. RNAcentral's name for it is "partial contains 5.8S ribosomal RNA, internal transcribed spacer 2, and large subunit ribosomal RNA". The stretch from base 1 to 119 matches the Rfam family "5.8S ribosomal RNA", at positions 35 to 154 of the family's 154-position model. The record is from RNAcentral.